This 107-nucleotide small nucleolar RNA is filed under the name Lupinus albus (white lupine). Its description in RNAcentral is "Plant small nucleolar RNA R71". It matches the Rfam family "Plant small nucleolar RNA R71". From Rfam's summary of the family: R71 is a member of the C/D box family of snoRNAs containing the C (UGAUGA) and D (CUGA) box motifs. Multiple nearly identical copies of this snoRNA have been identified in Arabidopsis, and it is thought to function as a 2'-O-ribose methylation guide for 18S ribosomal RNA. The record is from Rfam by way of RNAcentral. Lineage: Eukaryota; Viridiplantae; Streptophyta; Magnoliopsida; Fabales; Fabaceae.
AUCUGAUGAUGGGGGCAACUUGCACACAAUCUUUUGAAUCUCUCCUAAUACUCAUAUAAAAUUUCUCCAUGUUGUUGCCUAAUCCCAAAAAUAUCUUUUCUUAUUGC